Long non-coding RNA from Ipomoea nil (Japanese morning glory), 1931 nucleotides. RefSeq lists it as uncharacterized. NCBI's taxonomy places the organism in Eukaryota, Viridiplantae, Streptophyta, Magnoliopsida, Solanales, Convolvulaceae. The transcript has 4 exons. The record is from RefSeq and is a predicted model, not a curated record.
GUUCACUUCGUCAUCAACGAUGCCCGUCCUCAAGCUAAGCUCACAUUUUCUCGUGCUCUCCAUCUAUCGUUUGUUUCUUCCUUGUAGGUCAUGUUCCUUGUGCGGAAUCAGAUAUGUGGCUGAUACAAUGAUUCGGCCAAAAUCGAAAAACCCUUGCACAAUUUCUCUUCAAUAAAACGACGCCGGCGUUUCAAAAAAAAAGUCAUGUACCUUGUGCGGAAUCAUUGAAUACUGGGUUUGUAGGCCUAAGGAGGGUUCACCUAACUUGGUUGAUUAUGCUGAGAAACAGGCCUGAAGAGCUGCAUUAGAAGUCCAAAGCCUUCGGUAGAGAGGACUUUGGACUUCUACUGCCAAUAAUUUGACUCCACCAUGGGGAAUGAGAGCUCUUGUCUCUGGAUUUGCAGAGAGUUAUUUUUUAAUCAGAGGAGAUGAGGACUGAUUGUAACAGAAAUGCAGAAACAGAAGGGGUGGCUUAUCUGAUACUGCAGAAGUUUCUGCAUUCAGAAGCUGCAUCUGGAGGCUGGAGUGCAGAUCUUCUGAUUUGCUGGAUGGUGCAGAAGGGGAUUGUGUAGGAAAUGGCUGAAGGAUUGAAAGCUAAUUUGACCUGGCUGAGGAAAUAGCUGCUGUUUGUGGUUCUCUGGUACUGAGAGCUUGUGCGGAAUCAUACAGGUUAUGUACCUUACAUAGGUAAUAAUAUGAAUUUGAGUUAUUUUGUUGAAUUUACAUUUCAAUAAAGAUUUACUUGUACAGCAUGAAUUUCUUUCAACAUUGAAUAAUUUUUUCAAGAUAAUGAUUUAUGUUACUAACAGAAAAUGCAGAACAGAAGUAUUUUUACAGGAAAAAUACAAAAUUGAUAUUACCUGUUUGUCUUGGGAAAGACAUUCCCUCUUGCUAGUACUCUCCUCGCAGUCAGGUACUUCGUAAGUAGGUUUGGACCAGUCGGACUCAUAUUGCUCACCUCCCCACCUGAGAGGCUGAGAGGCAAGAAUGUAUUUUUGCAGUAGAUUUCGAACUCUUUCCUCUAUGGUGUUCAAACUCAGUUUACAUCACUAUUUAUAGUUGGGAAUCAAAGUUGUAUAUCAUUAGUUUCUUGGGAAAAUCGCACUUUUGGUCCCUCAAUUGUUUCCCGAUCUGUAAUGUGGUCCCUCAAUGUCAAUUUCAGUCAAUUGGGUCCUCCAGUUCUUUAAAUCAUUGUCAAUUUGCCCCUCCGGUCAAAUUUCACAUGGACCAUGGUUAAAAGCGUGGAUAGAAUGGUAAUUUCCAAUACCCUUUAACCCCUUUCCUUAUUUCCACCGAAUUAACCCCAAUUCACUUACCAUUUCUGCCAUAACCAAUACCCGUUUCUUACUCCCAUUCCGCAAAUUAUCCCUGAUUCACGUACCAAUUCUCCCAAAAUCUACGAAGACGACGAAGUUCAUAUUGCACGGCCAUGUCUUCAAACAAUUUGUGCGACUCAGUUGAAUGGAUUCCAGAAGUUCGUUGUUGGUGCGGCGAAGUCGCUCCGGUAAGGAUGUCCUGGAGUUAUGCCAACCCUGGAAAGCGAUUUAGAUCAUGCCCACGCUAUGGAGUACGUGGGAAUGGGCACUGUAGCUAUUUCCAAUGGUUGGACUCCGAUGUCUCUGACCGUGUGUCUAAAGUGAUUCGAGGUUUAUUGAAGAGGUUAGAUAUGCAAGAGAGUGAAAUGCAAAGGCUUCAAGUAGUGAUUGAUGAGAAAACUGUCCAGCUUAAGAAGAAGACUCUGACUUCAAAAUUUCAAUUUUUGUAUGGUUUUGGAUUUGGAAUUGUGGUUGGUUUUCUUUGUUUUAGGCUUUGGAUGACAAGUGUUGAUCCAAGUGAAAAGCUUCUACAAUUGGCUUAGGAAUUUUAAUGCGUAAUGUUUGUAAAAACUUGGGAAUUUUAAUGCUUAUGAACUCUAUUGUCAGUUUGGAUUA